GAUCAUAUAAAACCUAUGUGAAUUGUCAUAACAAUCAUACAUACCUACCACAACUUUACUCUUUUCUCUCUUCUCUUUCUUCUAGAAUCGUCAUCUUCUCACCGGAUUUUCAACAUUGAAUCAAGAUCAAAGAUCCGCCUAUAUAUCUUGAAGAUCAGACCAUAAAUCUUGAAGGUAUGUUGUUUUACUCGGUUGUUUAUGUAGUAUACAUCUUUAAUCUAAGAGAUUGAACAUGUUUAUUUUUUUCUUAAACCAAAAUCUACAUCAGAUGUUUUUUGUUGAUUUUUGUUAUGUAUAAAAUCAAGUUUCCGGGUUUUUCUUAAUCAUCUAUUCCACAUUUAUCGCAGUUAAUGAUUUUGGUUGUUGUAUUUUUUCAUGUGAUCCUUACAUCCGUUAUAACAAUCUGAAUACCACCAUUCGUCAAGCAACAGAGUUUUCUAUUUGCAAUUGAGGUUUUGUUUUGAUCAAAGUUGGGUUAUGCAAGGUAAAUGGGGGAUAUCUACAAAUUUUGAUGGUACACGGCUUUUCAUUUAACGACAAUUUUGAUCAGAAACUGACAUUUAAGGAAAAAAUCUUAAUACAAUGUUGGGUAGAAGAUGCUGGAGAAAGAACUUAAGCGUAAUUUGGAUGCCCUUUAUGAUGUGGAUUUAUGUUCUUCUCAGUCUUCCACUAAACCGCGUAUGGGUGAUUGUGAGAACAAUGAAGAUCCGCCUAUAUAUCUUGAAGAUCAGACCAUAAAUCUUGAAGGUAUGUUGUUUUACUCGGUUGUUUAUGUAGUAUACAUCUUUAAUCUAAGAGAUUGAACAUGUUUAUUUUUUUCUUAAACCAAAAUCUACAUCAGAUGUUUUUUGUUGAUUUUUGUUAUGUAUAAAAUCAAGUUUUCGGGUUUUUCUUAAUCAUCUAUUCCACAUUUAUCGCAGUUAAUGAUUUUGAUUGUUGUAUUUUUUCAUGUGAUUCCUUACAUCCGUUAUAACAAUCUGAAUCCCACCAUUCGUCAAGCAACAGAGGUGAAGAGCUUCUUUCAGACUCCUUCCCCUACAAGGAACUAUUGAAUGGGUUCCUAUGAGAAGUUGAAGGAAAGUUAUGGAUAAUGAAAACAAUGCUCCUUCGUUAUUAAAGUCGAUUGAGGACUAUGAUCCUAUAUUUUUCGAAUUGUUCGUCGACCAAAAACAGUUAUGGAUCAUGAAAACAACGCUCCUUCGUUGUUAAAGUUGAUUGGGGACUAUGAUCCUAUAUUUUUGGAAAUACCAUAUGAUUUUGCAACCUUAUUGUGGGGAGAACAACUUCCAUAUGUCAAUGUCUUAAAAUUAUUGAUGAUGAUUUAUCUUAUGGAUCCUAAAAACAACUCUCAUUCGUUGUUAAAGUUUAUUGAGUAAUAUGAUCCUAUAUUUUUGGUGUUUAUUUUGGAUGGUCCGGAGUUUUUGGCUGCAACUAUGUUGGACAGAGAUAUGCUUGCUAUUGCUAUAAAUUGGUACCAUGUCGGUUGGUUUUGAUUCGUAAGAUUUGUGACGAUGCGUCGGACAAACAACAUUGGGAAAAUAUACAGCCUUGAUCCUUGGUUCGAACAACUUCAUGUGUAUAUUUUAUUAUAAAAAUAAAAGUUUUUUUUUUUUGUUUCAUGGGUCGUUCAGAGAGGCAAGUUUCUGCCUCCGGUUCUUGCCCGAAGUUUCUGACCUUACUCGCAACCCAUUGACUACAACUUUCAAUUCAAAACAAUUAUAAAAAAAUUACGUUUGAAAACA
This is a long non-coding RNA of Helianthus annuus (common sunflower), 1742 nucleotides long. RefSeq lists it as uncharacterized. Lineage: Eukaryota; Viridiplantae; Streptophyta; Magnoliopsida; Asterales; Asteraceae. The record is from RefSeq and is a predicted model, not a curated record. The transcript has 16 exons.